CAUGCAAGUCGAACGGAACUGUUUUGAAAGAUUUCUUCGGAAUGAAUUUGAUUUAGUUUAGUGGCGGACGGGUGAGUAACGCGUGAGUAACCUGCCUUCAAGAGGGGGAUAACAUUCUGAAAAGAAUGCUAAUACCGCAUGAUAUAUCGGAACCACAUGAUUUUGAUAUCAAAGAUUUUAUCGCUUGAAGAUGGACUCGCGUCCGAUUAGUUAGUUGGUGAGGUAACGGCUCACCAAGACCGCGAUCGGUAGCCGGACUGAGAGGUUGAACGGCCACAUUGGGACUGAGACACGGCCCAGACUCCUACGGGAGGCAGCAGUGGGGGAUAUUGCGCAAUGGGGGCAACCCUGACGCAGCAACGCCGCGUGAAGGAUGAAGGUUUUCGGAUUGUAAACUUCUUUUAUUAAGGACGAAAAUUGACGGUACUUAAUGAAUAAGCUCCGGCUAACUACGUGCCAGCAGCCGCGGUAAUACGUAGGGAGCAAGCGUUGUCCGGAUUUACUGGGUGUAAAGGGUGCGUAGGCGGCUUUGCAAGUCAGAUGUGAAAUCUAUGGGCUCAACCCAUAAACUGCAUUUGAAACUGUAGAGCUUGAGUGAAGUAGAGGCAGGCGGAAUUCCCCGUGUAGCGGUGAAAUGCGUAGAGAUGGGGAGGAACACCAGUGGCGAAGGCGGCCUGCUGGGCUUUAACUGACGCUGAGGCACGAAAGCGUGGGUAGCAAACAGG
Molecule: ribosomal RNA, 725 nt
Filed under: uncultured Lachnospiraceae bacterium
Lineage: Bacteria; Bacillati; Bacillota; Clostridia; Lachnospirales; Lachnospiraceae
Description: bacterial SSU rRNA
Rfam family: Bacterial small subunit ribosomal RNA
Source: RNAcentral